GACGAACGCUGGCGGCGUGCCUAAUACAUGCCAGUAGAACGCACAGUUUAUACCGUAGCUUGCUACACCAUAGACUGUGAGUUGCGAACGGGUGAGUAACGCGUAGGUAACCUGCCUGGUAGCGGGGGAUAACUAUUGGAAACGAUAGCUAAUACCGCAUAAUAUUGAUUAUUGCAUGAUAAUUAAUUGAAAGGUGCAAUUGCACCACUACCAGAUGGACCUGCGUUGUAUUAGCUAGUAGGUGAGGUAACGGCUCACCUAGGCGACGAUACAUAGCCGACCUGAGAGGGUGAUCGGCCACACUGGGACUGAGACACGGCCCAGACUCCUACGGGAGGCAGCAGUAGGGAAUCUUCGGCAAUGGACGAAAGUCUGACCGAGCAACGCCGCGUGAGGGAAGAAGGUUUUCGGAUCGUAAAGCUCUGUUGUAAGAGAAGAACGGGUGUGAGAGUGGAAAGUUCACACUGUGACGGUAUCUUACCAGAAAGGGACGGCUAACUACGUG
RNAcentral lists this ribosomal RNA (505 nucleotides) under uncultured bacterium. RNAcentral describes it as "partial 16S ribosomal RNA". It matches the Rfam family "Bacterial small subunit ribosomal RNA", at positions 28 to 507 of the family's 1533-position model. The record is from RNAcentral.